This 549-nucleotide ribosomal RNA is filed under the name uncultured Glomus. RNAcentral describes it as "SSU rRNA". It matches the Rfam family "Eukaryotic small subunit ribosomal RNA", at positions 548 to 1098 of the family's 1831-position model. The record is from RNAcentral. Lineage: Eukaryota; Fungi; Glomeromycota; Glomeromycetes; Glomerales; Glomeraceae.
UUGGAGGGCAAGUCUGGUGCCAGCAGCCGCGGUAAUUCCAGCUCCAAUAGCGUAUAUUAAAGUUGUUGCAGUUAAAAAGCUCGUAGUUGAAUUUCGGGAUCGAUGGGUCGGUCAUGCCCUCGGUAUGUACUGAUCCCAUUGGUUCUCACCUUCUAAGGAACCAUGAUGUCAUUCGGUUGAUGUUGUGGGGAAUUAGGACUGUUACCUUGAAAAAAUUAGAGUGUUUAAAGCAGGCCAACGCUUGAAUACAUUAGCAUGGAAUAAUGAAAUAGGACAUCCGAUUCUAUUUUGUUGGUUUCUAGGAUCGAUGUAAUGAUUAAUAGGGAUAGUUGGGGGCAUUAGUAUUCAAUUGUCAGAGGUGAAAUUCUUGGAUUUAUUGAAGACUAACUACUGCGAAAGCAUUUGCCAAGGAUGUUUUCAUUAAUCAAGAACGAAAGUUAGGGGAUCGAAGACGAUCAGAUACCGUCGUAGUCUUAACCAUAAACUAUGCCGACUAGGGAUCGGAUGAUGUUAAUUUUUUAAUGACUCAUUCGGCGCCUUACGGGAAAC